Molecule: ribosomal RNA, 319 nt
Filed under: uncultured Prevotella sp.
Lineage: Bacteria; Pseudomonadati; Bacteroidota; Bacteroidia; Bacteroidales; Prevotellaceae
Description: bacterial SSU rRNA
Rfam family: Bacterial small subunit ribosomal RNA
Source: RNAcentral
GAUGAACGCUAGCUACAGGCUUAACACAUGCAAGUCGAGGGGCAGCAUGGGAGUUGCUUGCAACUCUUGAUGGCGACCGGCGCACGGGUGAGUAACGCGUAUCCAACCUUCCCCCUGGUAGGGCAUAGCCCGUAGAAAUGCGGAUUAACACCCUAUGUUGUGCAUUGAGGACAUCUGAGGAGCACUAAAGUUUGACGCCAUGGGAUGGGGAUGCGUCCGAUUAGCUUGACGGCGGGGUAACGGCCCACCGUGGCUACGAUCGGUAGGGGUUCUGAGAGGAAGGUCCCCCACACUGGAACUGAGACACGGUCCAGACUCC